This 589-nucleotide long non-coding RNA is filed under the name Phoenix dactylifera (date palm). RNAcentral describes it as "long non-coding RNA (PDAC_LNC021020)". The record is from RNAcentral. Lineage: Eukaryota; Viridiplantae; Streptophyta; Magnoliopsida; Arecales; Arecaceae.
UUGCUCACGAACUCGUGAAUAGGGAACCGUAGGCCGGCCCAAAGCGUCUCGCGGUAAACCGCGAUCCGACCUGGGGGCGGCUGCGUCACCCUGUCUUCCGGCCCCACAGUUUCGAGACGAAACCCGGGCUGGAAGAAAAACCGGGAGCGGAUUAACUCCAACUCCUCCCCUGAUAGACUUGACCCCACCUCCUCCGGACCAAGACCCAUUUCACAGGAGAGCGAAAUAAAAUUAAAAGCAGAGGAUGAUAACUGGGAGGAAAAGAGAAGAGGAACCCUAGCAAUCACAGGGUAGGGAUCUACUGGACAUCGCCGGAAAUCGCUCCGGGCACCGACGGCGAGGUUCGAUUGAGGAAGGAAGCAAGGGAGAAAGACAACAAAAAUAAGAGGCAGCCAAAUAAAACCUUUAGGGCAAACUCGAGGGGUUUAUAUAGACCCCCUUGACGGUCCAGAUCGGCAGGGUCGGUUCCCAUCCCCUGACCGGAUUGCGCCACGUGUCGGCCUCGGAGACCGAGGCACCGUAUUCACUCCGGAUCAAUAAAUCGGGUACGAAAUCGAAGCCCUGUCCCAUCGGAUCUCGGGGCCUCAUU